UUGUUAGCUCUGAUACCAAUUGUUAGGAUCGCUCAACAACGCACAUACUCGCUCAAUAUGAACACAUAAGAACAAGAGAGGGAAAAUACAAGGAAAAUAUU
Long non-coding RNA from Cucurbita maxima (winter squash), 101 nucleotides. RefSeq lists it as uncharacterized. NCBI's taxonomy places the organism in Eukaryota, Viridiplantae, Streptophyta, Magnoliopsida, Cucurbitales, Cucurbitaceae. The record is from RefSeq and is a predicted model, not a curated record. The transcript is spliced from 5 exons.